UUAACCACUGUGCCACCAGGGAAGUCCCACUUCCUGUUUUCUUUUUCCUCUGCUCUGCAUUUAAAAUAAUUUUUAUUAAUAUAUAUGUAUAUGCUUGCAAAAUUACCAAUUAACUCAGGAAAGAUACACAAGACAUUAGGAAUGGUAGUUGCCUCUGGGGAAGAGACUGGGUAGGUGGGGAACAGAUUCUUUCUUUUCACUUACUUUUUAAUACCUUUUGGACUAUGUACCACAGACCCCUAUUAUACAUUCAAAAAUAGGUACAAUUUAAAAAUUUUAAUACUUUAAAAAUUUUAAUUUGACCAGCAGUCUGGAUUUUUGUUGUAAAAGAGUUUUCAGGUUAUCUUUUAAUUUAUUAUUUUUCUAAAUCUGGAGCCAAAACUAAGUCUUCACAGAUCUCCUGCACUUCCAUGAACUGGGUGAGUAUGUGAUAAGGCCAGUGAGUUCCAUGGGCAGCAGCUCAGUGCAUCAUUCCUGUGGAAAACAGUUUGGCAGUUCAUCAGAAAGUUAAACAUAGAAUUAGCAUGUGAGCCAGCAAUUCCACUCUUAGGUAGAUACCCAAGGGAAAUGAAAACAUAUGUCCACAUGGAAACUUGAACACAAAUGUCUAUAGCAGUAUUAUUCACAAUAGCCAAAAGGUGAAAACAACCCAAAUGAAUGGACAAACUAUGGCGUGUCCAUACAAUGGAAUAUUAUGCGGCCAUUAAAAGGGACAAAGUAUUAAUACAUGCUACAACUUGGAAGAACCUCAAAAACAUGCUAAGCGAAAGAAGAUGAAACAGGAGGGAAGGGGGCAGGGCACAACCUUUAAAAGAAUGACUUAGCCGUUGAGGAUAUGACAUAAACUGGUUAGAACAAACUAGGCCCAAGGUGGUGGAAAAUUCAACUUCCAAUGGACCUUGAGCCUCAUUACACGCUCGUUGUGAUACAUCAGCAUAUGCUAAAUGACACACCCACCAGCGUCAGGACAGUUCCGAGGGCAGCCUUAAGAGGCCAAAAUGAGCGGCCGCAGAUUGCGAGGAGCAUGUGGACGCUUGGGCGCCGAGCGGCUGCCAGCCUCUUGCCCUGCUCGGCGCCCCCGGGCUCUGCCCAGGCCCGCGCCGUGGCCCCGCAGCCAACGAAAGACCCCCGGCUCUACGGCUGCCGGGGCCUGCGCACCGGGACCGCCGCGGCCAGCACACCCAGCCAGCCCAGUCCGAGCCUCUGCUGCCUCAACCAGAUCCUGAAUGUCAAAAAGCAGUGUGUCUGUUGGAUGGAUUUGAGGACAACAGGAACUCUGGGUGACGCUGGCCCUCUGGACGAUACCACCUAUGAAAGACUGGCCGAGGAGAUGCUGGACUCCUUAGCAGAGCUCUUUGAAGACCUUGCAGACAAACCUUACACAUUUGAAGGCUAUGAGGUCUCCUUUGGGAGUGGUGUUUUAACAAUUAAUCUGGGUGGAGAUCUAGGAACGUACGUGAUCAACAAGCAGACCCCAAACAAGCAAAUCUGGCUAUCUUCACCAUCCAGCGGCCCCAAGCAUUACGACUGGACUGGGAGAAACUGGGUGUACUCCCACGACGGUGUGUCCCUCCACGAGCUGCUGGCCACAGAGCUGACCCAAGCCUUAAAAACCAAACUGGACUUAUCUUCUCUGGCCUACUCUGGAAAAGGCACUUGCUGCCCAGCCUAAUGCUAAAGACAGUGAAAGCUCUAAAGCCAAGACCCCAGCUUCCUUCUGCAGCUGAAUGGCUAGUCUUCUCCAUUCCUGCUUUUGAGGACAGUUGCAUUAUGUGUAACGGCUCUGUGAAAAGACCGUGUCGCCUCCUGCCCUGCCCCUGAGUUCAGAUUUUUAAUUUCUGUAGGUUUCUUUUGAUUUAUUGUCUGAUUUCCUCCCUCACGUGAUAGCCCGUAUCUUUCAUGUCUGUAUGCCCAUACCUUUAAAAUAUAACCUCACAACAGAGAAAAAGAAGAAGGACAAAUUCCAGGAGGAGAAAUGAAUUGGCUUCACCAUUCAUUCUCUGAAAGACUUACUACAAAAACUGCAUGAAGAGUGGCUGGCCAACCUUGCCAUCCUGUCUCAAAAUGAGACUCGUUAAAGGGAAGCCUAAAACAUUCCUACUCCUCUUGAAAGUGUAAACACUUCUAAGCCCUUUAGUAUUGAAGCAUCAGUGGCAACUCGGGAACUCUGAAACCGAAGACCAUUUUCUCUUUGUGCUUUGUGACUGCCAGGGUGUGGCCUGCAUGGGGUGACACAGGGAGAUGUGGUGCCGUGUCUUCCAUAUGUGCAUAUAUAUGUACACACACAUUUACAUGUGUGUGUACAUAUAUAUUUUUUAAAUUUAAGGGUCAGUAUAGAAUAAGCUAUGGCAACACUGGUCUGAGGAUGCAGAAAAUCUCCCAAAAGCCACCUCUGUAAGCUCAUGGAUAUAGUACAAUAAAUGAGGCCAUGGAGCUGAGGAGGUGCUUCGUAAACUGUGAAAGGCCACAUAAAUGAAAAGAUGUUGGUUAGUGAAAGGAACCCUGGUCUUACAAUUGGCCCAGCUCAAAAGUAGUUGUCUGUCUCUGGGCAACUUUCUCGAACUCCCUGGACCUCUGUUUCCCCGUGUUAACAGAGAGGGUUAAACUGGAUAGAAUAUAGUCGAUUCCCAAUUUAGACAUUUAGUGGUCCUGUCAGGCAACUUAACAGGCCAGCUUUAAUUCCCUCUAGUAGAGGAGAUGACAGUGAACAGUUUUUUUUAAGCUAUAGAGUAAGUAUAUGGUUUGGAGUUUUGUUCUACUUGAAUUUCAGUUGAAUUCAUGUUCAAAUAAUCAUCUUUUAUUGUGCCAUUACUGUGCUAAGCCUGGGCUGUAGGCUGAAUGUUAAGGUGUUGAUCCUAACCCCCAAUCACAGCCCUUAUAAGUGAGAUUAGUGCCCUUAUAAGAGAGACCCCAGAGAGCUCCCUCAUCCCUUUCACCAUGUGAGGACACAGCGAGAAGACAGCUGUCUAUGAACCAGGAAGCAGGCCUUCACCAGACACCCAGUCUGCUGGGGCCUUGAUCUUGGACUUCCCAGCCUCCAGAACUGUGAGAAAUAAAUUUCUAUAUAUAAGCCAAAAAAAAAAAAAAAGCCAAAAUAGAAAUUUUGGUGGCCUAAAUCCUGGAAAUCCCGGACCCUUCCCCAAAUAGUUUUAAUAAUCUUCCCAGUUGUUAGCCUAUGAAAUUACCCAGCCCAUAAACACUAACCACCCCAUAUUUCAGGGCCAAUCUCAAGGCUUUUGAGAUGGAUUGAGUUCUGUCUAUGGAAUGUGCAUCUCCCAGGGCCUCUCGCCUUCUGUGAUGGUCCAUGGUCCACUCUAUGGAGUGUGUAUCUCUCUCAAUAAAUCUACUUCUUACUUAUCACUUUGCCUCUCACUGAAUUCCUUCUGUACUGAGACAUAAAGAGCCUGAGCUUCAUUAAGUCCUGAGAUCAGGUGUGCAGUUUCAAUUAAAAGGCAGUGGGUUUGAGGGAAUUCCCUGGCAGUCCAGCGGUUAAGACUUGGUGCUUUCACUGCUGAGGGCCCGUGUUCAAUCCCUGGCCGGGGAACUAAGAUCCCACAAGCUGAGUGGCAUGGUCAAAAAAAAAAAGACAGUGGGUUCAGGUCCCAACCUGAGUUUUGGAUGGGUUCGAAUCCCAUCUGAGUUGUGAGGUUUCAAAGCCAGACACAAAAAGUCACAUACCGUAUGAUUCAUUUUGUGUGAUAUACCCACAAUGGGCAAAUUCAAAGAAACAGAAAGCAGAUUCAGGCUUACCAGGGGUUGGGGGCAGGGAGAAUAGUGAGUGAUUAUUUGAUUGGUACAGUGUGUUUUUAUGGGAUGUUGAAAAAGUCUUGGAAGUAGAGAGAGUUGGUGGCUGCAUAACACUGAAUACACUACAUGCCACAGAAUCGUACACUUAAAUGGUUUAUUGUAUGUUAUGUGAAUUUCACCUGAAUAAAAAAAGCAGUUGCACAAAAAUACAUAUGAUAUGAUUAUAUCUAUAACAUUCAAAAACACAAAUUAAAUGAUAUAUUGUUUAGUUAUACAUAGAUGUGGUAAAAAGAAAAAGCCAAGGGAAUGAUAAACAC
Molecule: RNA transcript, 4064 nt
Organism: Aethalodelphis obliquidens (Pacific white-sided dolphin)
Lineage: Eukaryota; Metazoa; Chordata; Mammalia; Artiodactyla; Delphinidae
Gene name: frataxin, mitochondrial pseudogene
Exons: 2
Source: RefSeq, a predicted model, not a curated record